AAAAACAAAAAAAAAAAAAUAAAAUAAAACAAACUUCAUUAUUAGCAAUGUAAGAAAUUAUGCCUAUUAACCUGCUGGGAUAACUAAAAAUGUUUAGCAAGUUACACGAAGAACACAUCAUUAUGAGGAUAAAGUUAAUAUGCGUAGUAGCCCUUUGGAAUCCAAUUUAUUUCAAAUUUAACACAUUCAUUUAGCACUGAGAACAUGAUGGGUAAGUUGCUUGAAUUUGUAAUUCUGUUCUAGGAUCUAAUAACGCUAUAAUCAUUGGUUUAAUUGAAGUUCCCUUGCCAAAUGAUUAUGAAAGACUUUCAAACUCAACUCAUAUCAACUCAACUUAAUCUUUAUCCAAGAAUUUGAGAUUGGCUAUAUAGAUUUUCUUUCUCCAUUCUAAACG
This 394-nucleotide unclassified non-coding RNA is filed under the name Hevea brasiliensis (rubber tree). The record is from RNAcentral. Lineage: Eukaryota; Viridiplantae; Streptophyta; Magnoliopsida; Malpighiales; Euphorbiaceae.